This is a long non-coding RNA of Heterocephalus glaber (naked mole-rat), 1252 nucleotides long. NCBI's taxonomy places the organism in Eukaryota, Metazoa, Chordata, Mammalia, Rodentia, Bathyergidae. The record is from Ensembl.
GAGGAAUUGUGACAGGCAACCGGGUGACUGGCACGGAGCCUGGACUCAGGGCUGGGGGAGCGGAGGAGAACCCGACUCCUCUCUGCGAAGCCCCUUCUUCAGCAAGGUCUGAAGGAGAAAGCUCCCGCAGUGUCAGUGCCAUGGGUGACCAAACUGGGUCUGUACCUGUGACGGAGGCAGAGCUGGCAAGGGGUGCUCAAAUUACCACCUCUCUUUGACAGUGGAAAAUCAGAGGGCCCUGACAUCAUGGUGAAGGAUUCGGCCAGCUGUGGACUCAGACAGCUGAAGGAGGAUGGAAACAGACAGGAAGUCCAGGCUGUGCUGUGCCCAGCCCAGAGGCCUCCGGCUUCCCUACACAGGAUUCCAGUCCCAGGGACACCGGGGAGCCACGGGAGUCCAGAAGACCUCUGGGUGCUUCCCCCUGCCCUGCAUUUCUCUGUCCUCUCUCCCAUGCCUCUGGAUAAUGGAAAUGGUUCUUAAUAAAUUCCCACUUCUCACAAGCUUUACAGUAAAGAUGAUCCUCCUGGGAGAUGAUCCUGGGACAGGCUCGGGGCUGGCUGCAGGGCAGAGGGGCCAGGCCUGCAUGUGACACUGACCCUCCCUGGUUUCCAUGGUCACUGUCCCUGAGGUGCUGUCUUCAUCCUGCCUGGAAGUCUCCAGUAGCAUAAGGAAGCACAAGGAAGACAGGGAAGUGGCAUGGGUGUGGUCCCCAGAGUCACUUGGGCAUCUCUUGACUACACAGCUGAGUUUCCUGGUGGUCUCAUGCAAAGAGUUGAGUCUUUCAAAAAUGGUGACGUUUUCUGCUUUUUAAAGCAAUUAGGGAAGCAGCCUGACACAGGUAUGAACCCCUCAGGCAGCUUGAGUUUUCAGGGGGUGCUGAGCAGUGAGCCAGAUAUUCUGGGGAUCAGAGGAGGACGGAUGACAGGGAGAGCAGCCUACGGAGAUGGAGAAGGUGGCAGAACGGGGGUCUUCCCCAAGGCAGGUCCCAGGUCUGGAUGCCAUGUUCCCAUUUUAGGCAGGGACUUGGGGGCACAAGAAGCCCAUCAGGGUGCUUCCUUGGGGUUCCCAUGGAGCCUGGGGAUGUCCAGGAAGUACCCCCCUCGGUGGCCAGCCACCCCGCGCAGUCUUUACUAUGAAGUGACUCUGCCUGCUGGUCAUCACGGCCAGGGUGGUCUUGGAGUCUGACCGGUCCUCUAGGUUGUCCUUCACCUGAGAGCAGCACCAAGGGAAGCUGGAAAGAGCUGAGAUGGGG